GUGAGGAAUUUUCCGCAAUGGGCGAAAGCCUGACGGAGCAAUGCCGCGUGAAGGAUGAAGGCCUAUGGGUUGUAAACUUCUUUUCUCAGAAAAGAAUUAUGACGGUAUCUGAGGAAUAAGCAUCGGCUAACUCUGUGCCAGCAGCCGCGGUAAGACAGAGGAUGCAAGCGUUAUCCGGAAUGAUUGGGCGUAAAGCGUCUGUAGGUUGUUUAAAAAGUAUUCUGUCAAAGAUUAGGGCUUAACCCUAGAUAGGCAGAAUAAACUUUUAAGCUAGAGUUUGGUAGAGGCAGAGGGAAUUCCCGGUGGAGCGGUGAAAUGCGUAGAUAUCAGGAGGAACACCGAUGGCGAAGGCAGAUCUCUGGGCCGUAACUGACGCUGAGGAGCGAAAGCGUGGGGAGCGAACAGGAUUAGAAACCCUAGUAGUCC
Molecule: ribosomal RNA, 426 nt
Filed under: uncultured bacterium
Lineage: Bacteria
Description: partial 16S ribosomal RNA
Rfam family: Bacterial small subunit ribosomal RNA
Source: RNAcentral